Non-coding RNA from Chelonoidis abingdonii (Abingdon island giant tortoise), 172 nucleotides. Lineage: Eukaryota; Metazoa; Chordata; Testudines; Testudinidae. The record is from RefSeq and is a predicted model, not a curated record.
CAAACACCUGACAGGGAAGGUCUAAGUUUACUUGCUCCUGCCUCACUGCAGGGGGUUGGACUUGAUGACCUUGCAAGGUCCCUUCCUGGCCUUCAUUUCUAUGAUUCUAGUAUCUACUUAAGAGAAUUCACUACAAUUCCAGGAUGAAAGAUUUUGGUUGGGGUCAUUGAGC